This is a long non-coding RNA of Cairina moschata (Muscovy duck), 1813 nucleotides long. Lineage: Eukaryota; Metazoa; Chordata; Aves; Anseriformes; Anatidae. The record is from Ensembl.
UGCCAGCGGUAGUCCCAACUCUGCCGGGCCACGGCGCGCCGGGCGGCCGCCAACCCGCCGGGCCCCGCCGGGCGCCGCAGGUCCCAGAGUUUGGCCGUCUGGUCCUUGGAGUUGGUCACCAGGUAGCGACCGUCACCCUAUGGGAGGGGACGGGGCGGUGACGUCACGGAUGAGGUCAUCGGGGUGAAGAACGUCAAGGUUGGGGUCAAUGGGCGUGGUAGAACCAUGGAGAACGUCAAAAUUGGGGUCAACGGGGUGAAAAACGUCAUAUUUGGGGUCAAUGGGGUGAAGAACGUCAAGAUUGGGGUCAAUGGGGUGAAAAACGUCAAGAUUGGGGUCAACGGGGUGAGGAACAUCAAGGUUGGGGUCAAUGGGGUGAAAAACGUCAAGAUUGGGGUCAACGGGGGUGGUAGAACCAUGGAGAACGUCAUAUUUGGGGUCAACGGGGUGAAAAACGUCAAGAUUGGGGUCAAAAAGGAUGGUAGAACCAUGAGGAACGUCAUAUUUAGGGUCAGUGGGGUGAAAAAUGUCAAGAUUGGGGUCAUCAUGGGUCAAUAGAACCAUGGAGAACAUCAAGGUUGGGGUCAAUGGGGUGAAGAACGUCAAGAUUGGGGUCAACGGGGGUGGUAGAACCAUGGAGAACGUCAAAAUUGGGGUCAACGGGGUGAGGAACAUCAAGGAUGGGGUCAACGGGGUGAAGAACAUCAAGAUUAGGGUCAACGGGAUGAAAAACGUCAAGAUUGGGGUCAAAAAGGAUGGUAGAACCAUGAGGAACGUCAUAUUUAGGGUCAAUGGGGUGAAAAACGUCAAGGUUGGGGUCAACGGGGGUGGUAGAACCAUGAGGAACGUCAUAUUUGGGGUCAAUGGGGUGAAAAACGUCAAGAUUGGGGUCAUCACGGUUGAGGAAGGUCAAGGUUGGGGUCAACGGGGUGAAGAACGUCAAGGUUGGGGUCAAUGGGGUGAAAAACGUCAAGAUUGGGGUCAAUGGGGUGAAGAACAUCAAGAUUGGGGUCAAUGGGGUGAAAAACGUCAAGAUUGGGGUCAACGGGGUGAAGAACGUCAAGGUUGGGGUCAACGGGGAUGGUAGAACCAUGGAGAACGUCAAAAUUGGGGUCAACGGGGUGAAAAACGUCAAAAUUGGGGUCAAUGGGGUGAAAAACGUCAAGAUUGGGGUCAUCACGGUUGAGGAACGUCAAGGUUGGGGUCAACGGGGUGAAGAACGUCAAGGUUGGGGUCAUUGGGGUGAAAAAUGUCAAGAUUGGGGUCAUCAUGGUCAAUAGAACCAUGGAGAACAUCAACAAUGGGGUCAAUGGGGUGAAAAACGUCAAGAUUGGGGUCAAAAAGGAUGGUAGAACCAUGAGGAACAUCAUAUUUAGGGUCAAUGGGGUGAAAAACGUCAAGAUUGGGGUCAUCAUGGUCAAUAGAACCAUGGAGAACGUCAAGGUUGGGGUCAACGGGGUGAAAAACGUCAUAUUUGGGGUCAAUGGGGUGAGGAACGUCAAGAUUGGGGUCAACGGGGGUGGUAGAACCAUGGAGAACGUCAAGGAUGGGGUCAAUGGGGUGAAAAAUGUCAAGAUUGGGGUCAUUGGGGUGAAAAACGUCAAGAUUGGGGUCAUUGGGGUGAAAAACGUCAUAUUUGGGGUCAAUGGGGUGAAAAACGUCAAGAUUGGGGUCAACGGGGAGAGGAACCGCGAGGAACAUCACGCAUGGAGGGCCACCAGUCCCUCCCAGUCCCUCCCAGUGCCUCCCAGUCCCUCCCAGUGCCUCCCAGUCCCUCCCAGUCUAUUCCAAUCCCCUCCCAGUAUAUCCCAGU